CCUACGGGCGGCAGCAGUGAGGAAUAUUGGUCAAUGGACGAGAGUCUGAACCAGCCAAGUAGCGUGAAGGAUGACUGCCCUAUGGGUUGUAAACUUCUUUUAUAUGGGAAUAAAAUGUUCCACGUGUGGGAUUUUGUAUGUAACAUAUGAAUAAGGAUCGGCUAACUCCGUGCCAGCAGCCGCGGUAAUACGGAGGAUCCGAGCGUUAUCCGGAUUUAUUGGGUUUAAAGGGAGAGUAGGUGGAUUGUUAAGUCAGUUGUGAAAGUUUGCGGCUCAACCGUAAAAUUGCAGUUGAAACUGGCAGUCUUGAGUACAGUAGAGGUGGGCGGAAUUCGUGGUGUAGCGGUGAAAUGCUUAGAUAUCACGAAGAACUCCGAUUGCGAAGGCAGUUCACUGGACUGCAACUGACACUGAGGCUCGAAAGUGUGGGUAUCAAACAGGAUUAGAUACCCCAGUAGUC
RNAcentral lists this ribosomal RNA (460 nucleotides) under uncultured bacterium. RNAcentral describes it as "partial 16S ribosomal RNA". It matches the Rfam family "Bacterial small subunit ribosomal RNA", at positions 338 to 795 of the family's 1533-position model. The record is from RNAcentral.